UUAUGGUUCCUUUGGUCGCUCGCUCCUGCUCCGUACUCGGAUAACUGUGGUAAUUCUAGAGCUAAUACAUGCCGACGNGGCGCAUGAACCCCCUUCAGCGGGUGAGGGAUGCGUGCAUUUAUCAGAUCAAAACCAACCCGGUCAGCUCCCUCACCUGGCCCCGGCCGGGAGAGGCGGGCGCCAGGCGGCUUUGGUGACUUCUAGAUAACNUCGGGCCCGAUCGCCAGCGCCCCCCGUGGCGGAGCACGACCCAUUCGAAUCGUGCUGCCCUAUCAACUUUCGAUGGUAGUCGCUGUGCACUACCAUGGUGACCACGGGUGACGGGGAAUCAGGGUUCGAUUCCGGAGAGGGACGCCUGAGAAACGGCUACCCACAUCCCAAGGAAGGCACGCAGGCGCGCAAUAUUACCCACUCCCGACCCGGGGAGGUAGUGACGAAAAA
This 441-nucleotide ribosomal RNA is filed under the name uncultured eukaryote. RNAcentral's name for it is "bacterial SSU rRNA". It matches the Rfam family "Eukaryotic small subunit ribosomal RNA", at positions 110 to 477 of the family's 1831-position model. The record is from RNAcentral.